RNAcentral lists this ribosomal RNA (404 nucleotides) under Bacillota bacterium. RNAcentral describes it as "Firmicutes bacterium partial 16S ribosomal RNA". It matches the Rfam family "Bacterial small subunit ribosomal RNA", at positions 355 to 776 of the family's 1533-position model. RNAcentral also lists the same sequence under 1 other name. Lineage: Bacteria; Bacillati; Bacillota. The record is from RNAcentral.
UGGGGAAUAUUGGACAAUGGGCGAAAGCCUGAUCCAGCCAUGCCGCGUGAGUGAUGAAGGCCUUAGGGUUGUAAAGCUCUUUUAUCCGGGAAGAUAAUGACUGUACCGGAAGAAUAAGCCCCGGCUAACUUCGUGCCAGCAGCCGCGGUAAUACGAAGGGGGCUAGCGUUGCUCGGAAUCACUGGGCGUAAAGGGCGCGUAGGCGGAUGAUUAAGUCGGAGGUGAAAGCCCAGGGCUCAACCCUGGAAUUGCCUUCGAUACUGAUCGUCUCGAGAAUGGAAGAGGUAAGUGGAAUACCGAGUGUAGAGGUGAAAUUCGUAGAUAUUCGGUGGAACACCAGUGGCGAAGGCGACUUACUGGUCCAUUUCUGACGCUGAGGCGCGAAAGCGUGGGGAUCAAACAGG